CCCCAUCCCCCCCCUCUCUCCUCUCUCUCUCGCUAUCUAUCUAUCUAGACUUGUCAUUACCUUCUUCUCUCGUGACUCUGCGGCCAUCUCCGUGACUCCUCUUCGACCCUACUUUGAAAGGCAUAAUCAUGAAGAUGUUCACAAACUUCUUCAAUUCCUCACCUUCAUCUACUCAUCUCCAGAGGAGCAGCGUGAAGAGCAAGAAGUCCAAGGAGCGGCCUUCUUCCCCAUCUGACGCGCUAUCAUCCGGGUCUGCCAGCUCCUCCAGCUCCAGCGAUUCCUUCGGCAAGUCUACCGCCGCCCCUCCGACCCCACCUUCUGUCAUCCUUCACCCUCAGCCAGA
RNAcentral lists this long non-coding RNA (343 nucleotides) under Spirodela polyrhiza (greater duckweed). RNAcentral describes it as "long non-coding RNA (SPOL_LNC002324)". Lineage: Eukaryota; Viridiplantae; Streptophyta; Magnoliopsida; Alismatales; Araceae. The record is from RNAcentral.